ACCAUAACAAAAACGGCCCAUAUUUUUAAGUUUUACCCCACCUAGCCUAUAUUGUACAUAUUUUAAAAAUACUAGCUCUUGCAAAUUCAAAAUAUGUGUUCUUACAACCAUUGCUUCUAAAAGCUAUGAAGUUAAAUGUGUGUGUUUUCACAACCAUUAUCUUCACUCUCUCUUCUUCUCACUUUUUUUACAUAUGCUUUAAGGGGCCAUCUGCCAUUACUGCUUCUCCCUCUAUAUCACCUGGUUGCAAUGUAAAAAAAUUAAAGAGUAAAAGUCCACCAUUAAAGGGCAUUCAAAGCUUUGCUUUAGAAAAUAGAAUUUCUUGUAAUUCUUAGUUGUUUGGAUUGGGUGAUGUUCCAAUGAUUGAAAAUAUCAAAAGGAGUUUAAAGUUUAAAUUUGAAGUGAUUUGGAGUAGAUUUGAGCAAGUUAAAUUUCAGAAAAAAUGCAAGGA
Molecule: long non-coding RNA, 451 nt
Filed under: Nicotiana benthamiana
Lineage: Eukaryota; Viridiplantae; Streptophyta; Magnoliopsida; Solanales; Solanaceae
Description: long non-coding RNA (NBEN_LNC033864)
Source: RNAcentral